RNAcentral lists this transfer RNA (67 nucleotides) under Entoria okinawaensis (Okinawa walking stick). Its description in RNAcentral is "tRNA-Asp". The record is from RNAcentral. Lineage: Eukaryota; Metazoa; Arthropoda; Insecta; Phasmatodea; Phasmatidae.
AGAAAUUUAGUUAAAUAUAUAACAUUAAUAUGUCAUAUUAAAAUUAUUAUUAUAUUAAUAAUUUCUA